GGGGGGGGGGGGGGGGGGGGCGAGGAGAGGGGGGGGGGGCGAGAGGGGGGGGGAUGGUGGCGCAGGGGGGGGUAAGGGGGGGGAACGUGCCGUUAGGGUGGGAGUAACUCCCCGAAGGGGUGGAUAGUAGCGGAUAGGGUCUGCGGACGAAAGAUUUAUCGCCUUUGGAGGGGCCGGCGUUGGAUUAGCUAGUUGGUAGGGUAAAAGCCUACCAAGGCGACGAUCCAUAGCUGGUCUGAGAGGAUGAUCAGCCACACUGGGACUGAGACACGGCCCAGACUCCUACGGGAGGCAGCAGUGGGGAAUAUUGGACAAUGGGCGAAAGCCUGAUCCAGCAAUGCCGCGUGAGUGAUGAAGGCCUUAGGGUUGUAAAGCUCUUUUACCCGGGAUGAUAAUGACAGUACCGGGAGAAUAAGCUCCGGCUAACUCCGUG
This 433-nucleotide ribosomal RNA is filed under the name uncultured bacterium. RNAcentral's name for it is "partial 16S ribosomal RNA". The stretch from base 49 to 433 matches the Rfam family "Bacterial small subunit ribosomal RNA", at positions 39 to 507 of the family's 1533-position model. The record is from RNAcentral.